Molecule: transfer RNA, 75 nt
Filed under: Methanosarcinales archaeon
Lineage: Archaea; Methanobacteriati; Methanobacteriota; Methanomicrobia; Methanosarcinales
Also listed under: 1 other name
Description: tRNA-Glu
Rfam family: tRNA
About the family: Transfer RNA (tRNA) molecules are approximately 80 nucleotides in length. Their secondary structure includes four short double-helical elements and three loops (D, anti-codon, and T loops). Further hydrogen bonds mediate the characteristic L-shaped molecular structure. tRNAs have two regions of fundamental functional importance: the anti-codon, which is responsible for specific mRNA codon recognition, and the 3' end, to which the tRNAs corresponding amino acid is attached (by aminoacyl-tRNA synthetases). tRNAs cope with the degeneracy of the genetic code in two manners: having more than one tRNA (with a specific anti-codon) for a particular amino acid; and 'wobble' base-pairing, i.e. permitting non-standard base-pairing at the 3rd anti-codon position.
Source: RNAcentral
GCUCCGGUAGUGUAGCUCGGCCAAUCAUUUGGGACUCUCACUCCCAAGACUGGGGUUCAAAUCCCCACCGGAGCA